RNAcentral lists this ribosomal RNA (430 nucleotides) under uncultured Acidobacteriota bacterium. RNAcentral's name for it is "bacterial SSU rRNA". It matches the Rfam family "Bacterial small subunit ribosomal RNA", at positions 1 to 424 of the family's 1533-position model. Lineage: Bacteria; Pseudomonadati; Acidobacteriota. The record is from RNAcentral.
UACAGUUUGAUCCUGGCUCAGAAUCAACGCUGGCGGCGUGCCUAACACAUGCAAGUCGAACGCGAAAGGGGCUUCGGCCCUGAGUAGAGUGGCGAACGGGUGAGUAACACGUGGGUGAUCUACCUUCGAGUGGGGGAUAACGUCCCGAAAGGGUCGCUAAUACCGCAUGACGUUCUGGGUUUAAAGACCUGGAAACCAAAGCCGGGGACCGCAAGGCCUGGCGCUUGGAGAGGAGCCCGCGUCCGAUUAGCUAGUUGGCGGGGUAAUGGCCCACCAAGGCGACGAUCGGUAGCCGGCCUGAGAGGGCGGACGGCCACACUGGAACUGAGACACGGUCCAGACUCCUACGGGAGGCAGCAGUGGGGAAUUGUUCACAAUGGGCGCAAGCCUGAUGACGCAACGCCGCGUGGGGGAUGAAGGUCUUCGGAUU